AACGCUGGCGGCGUGCUUAACACAUGCAAGUCGAACGCGAAAGGGACUUCGGUCCUGAGUAAAGUGGCGCACGGGUGAGUAACGCGUAGAUAACCUGUCUUCAUGUCUGGAAUAAUACGCCAAAGGGGUACUAAUACCGGAUAUUCUUGCUUUUCAUAAGUUAUGCAAGCAAAGGUGGCCUCUGCAUAUGCUACUGCAUGAAGAGGGGUCUGCGUACCAUUAGCUAGUAGGUGGGGUAAUGGCCUACCUAGGCGACGAUGGUUAGCGGGUCUGAGAGGAUGAUCCGCCACACUGGCACUGGAACACGGGCCAGACUCCUACGGGAGGCAGCAGUGAGGAAUAUUGCGCAAUGGGGGAAACCCUGACGCAGCGACGCCGCGUGAGUGAAGGAAGGCCUUCGGGUCGUAAAGCUCUGUCAAGAGGAAAGAAGUGUACAAUGGCUAAUACCUGUUGUAUUUGACGGUACCUCUAAAGGAAGCACCGGCUAACUCCGUGCCAGCAGCCGC
Molecule: ribosomal RNA, 506 nt
Filed under: uncultured bacterium
Lineage: Bacteria
Description: bacterial SSU rRNA
Rfam family: Bacterial small subunit ribosomal RNA
Source: RNAcentral